RNAcentral lists this ribosomal RNA (300 nucleotides) under uncultured Thermus sp. Its description in RNAcentral is "bacterial SSU rRNA". The stretch from base 52 to 300 matches the Rfam family "Bacterial small subunit ribosomal RNA", at positions 547 to 795 of the family's 1533-position model. The record is from RNAcentral. Lineage: Bacteria; Thermotogati; Deinococcota; Deinococci; Thermales; Thermaceae.
CAUACGCAGGGGGGAGAGGAGGGGGUAGUAAGGAGGGGGGGAGCGUUAGGUGGGUUAUCUGGGCGUAAAGGGUGGGUAGUGGGCUGUUGAAGUUGGAGGUGAAAUCCCCGAGCUUAACGUGGGAAUUGCAUUCGAGACGGGGAAGCUAGAGUAUGGGAGAGGAUGGUAGAAUUCCAGGUGUAGCGGUGAAAUGCGUAGAGAUCUGGAGGAAUACCGAUGGCGAAGGCAGCCAUCUGGCCUAAUACUGACGCUGAGGUACGAAAGCAUGGGGAGCAAACAGGAUUAGAUACCCUUGUAGUC